RNAcentral lists this ribosomal RNA (254 nucleotides) under uncultured bacterium. Its description in RNAcentral is "partial 16S ribosomal RNA". It matches the Rfam family "Bacterial small subunit ribosomal RNA", at positions 524 to 776 of the family's 1533-position model. The record is from RNAcentral.
UACGUAGGGUGCGAGCGUUGUCCGGAAUUAUUGGGCGUAAAGAGCUCGUAGGCGGUGUGUCACGUCGGCCGUGAAAACCUGCAGCUUAACUGUGGGCGUGCGGUCGAUACGGGCAUCACUGGAGUUCGGCAGGGGAGACUGGAAUUCCUGGUGUAGCGGUGAAAUGCGCAGAUAUCAGGAGGAACAUCAGUGGCGAAAGCGGCUUCCUGGACCAGUACCGACGUUCAGGCACGAAAGCGUGGGGAGCAAACAGG